This 499-nucleotide ribosomal RNA is filed under the name uncultured bacterium. Its description in RNAcentral is "partial 16S ribosomal RNA". It matches the Rfam family "Bacterial small subunit ribosomal RNA", at positions 28 to 507 of the family's 1533-position model. The record is from RNAcentral.
GACGAACGCUGGCGGCGUGCCUAAUACAUGCAAGUCGAGCGAAGUUUUUCUGGUGCUUGCACCGGAAAAACUUAGCGGCGCACGGGUGAGUAACACGUAAAGAACCUGCCUCAUAGACUGGGACAACUAUUGGAAACGAUAGCUAAUACCGGAUAACAGCAUUAACUGCAUGGUUGAUGUUUAAAAGUUGGUUUUGCUAACACUAUGAGAUGGCUUUGCGGUGCAUUAGCUAGUUGGUGGGGUAAGGGCCUACCAAGGCGACGAUGCAUAGCCGACCUGAGAGGGUGAUCGGCCACACUGGGACUGAGACACGGCCCAGACUCCUACGGGAGGCAGCAGUAGGGAAUCUUCCGCAAUGGGCGAAAGCCUGACGGAGCAACGCCGCGUGAGUGAAGAAGGAUUUCGGUUCGUAAAGCUCUGUUGUUAGGGAAGAAUGAUUGUGUAGUAACUAUACACAGUAGAGACGGUACCUAACCAGAAAGCCACGGCUAACUACGUG